Molecule: long non-coding RNA, 328 nt
Filed under: Mus spicilegus (steppe mouse)
Lineage: Eukaryota; Metazoa; Chordata; Mammalia; Rodentia; Muridae
Description: lncRNA (ENSMSIG00000015587.1)
Source: RNAcentral
GGCUUCUCUGUUCCUUGCAGUGAAGAAGCAAAGAAGGAGUUCUAAAUGGCCUAAAAGUCCUCCCGUGGGACUUAUCAGCAGGACUCACCUCAUCAGGAACUCAACUCUUUCCAACAUCAGCUCAGCUGAAGACUGCUGCAGACGCCUGAAGGACCAGACUCUGUCUCUCCUCCAGUAAGUGGGCUCUGCAGGAUGCUUCACAUCACUGUUGAGAGGACCUCUAGAUUGGCUUAGUUAUAACAACACCCAAAGGUCUCUCCACUAGAUGUUCCCACAUAGCCUGGUAUGUGACCCUCCUGACAGGAAAGCAUUGCAUGAAUGUGUUGAC